UCCUGAACGCAGCCUCGCCAGUCCAGUGCUGUGAGCUGGGCCCUCCAUGGAGAAGGAACCUGAGUUUGCUGAUCCUAAGGGAAAUGCUGUUGUGGAGGCCACGGGGGCAUUAUCUAUCAAGGAGACAGAGAGCCCUCUCGGGGACAAUGCCUUGCACACUCCACAUCACCCUGUUUGGCCCCGGAGGAUGGCUGGUUAGUCAAAUAUGGGUAAGAUUCCUCAAGGGAGGGACAACCUAAGACAGGCCCAGCCGCAGAGGGGCCAUCAGAGGCACAGAACUUCACCCCCACCAACCUUGGAAAAGGCCUAAUUCUUCACCCCUUCUGAGAGGUCUCCUGCCCCAUGGCUGCUUUGCUCCCCAUGUCCACCUCAGAUCAGAACCCAAGUGACAGACAGAGACCUAGUCAACAGCGACUGCCUGCUCCCCACAGCAGGAGACAACUGCAGCUACAGGGAUGGGCCGUGUCUGGGUGCUUUUCUCUUUCUUGGUUCUUCUCAUUUUUUAAUGCUUUUCCCUUUUCCUUUCUUCUCUCAUCAGGGUUCUCCUUCAGCAACAAAUUUAAUAAAAGGGGAGGAGGUGUUGGAAAAACUUCCAGUUACAACUAGCAGCUACGAGCAGCUUGCAGUGCUUGAGGAAUCCGCAUUCCUUCAGGCCUGACAGGAACACCUGCAGGAUGGGGUGCUCUGCUCUAGGAGCCGUCCAUGAAACCACAUCCUCCGCACUGUGGUUAGCAUUGCCAAACUACCAGGCCAGGAAACCGAGUCAGGGGCUGCAGGGCAUGAAAUCCCUGACUCAAUAAGCCCUUCUCUUAGGGCCAAAGACCCUUUCAGAUUGCUUUCCACCACGACAGCAAUAUUUAGAGUUUCCUCACAGUGUGGUUACAUUAGGCAGAAGAUGAUUGGCUUAUGGAUAUUGUCUUGCUUAUGUAUGAUUGACAGGCACGUCCCACUCAAACCCUAUAACAGUUGUGUGCAUUCCAAAAAGAAACUGAGCUACUGGAGUCGAGUUGAGGUUUGUCACCAGUCAGUUCUCACCAGCUCCCGGAGUCUGUGUGUUGAGUCCGAAUGUCUCUUACCCCCCCACACCCCUGCGACUAAGUUAGCCAAGCAACUAAUUCACCACACCAGUGACAGGAACAUAUGCAAGACAGCAUAUGAGAAACCUAAACCAGCCAAUUAUGCUGGUCUUUAAUGAUACAGUAUAUAUGAACAAUUGUCAGAAAGAUUAUUAAAAUAGAUUUUCCAAGAGUAUUUACAUUACUGACAGACCUAAUAGACUCCUUAAAUGUGAGAAUUAAGAAAAAAGAUGAUAAAUAUCUUGUAACCUGUAAAAAUACAACUUAUUGUAUCAUUAGUUUAUUGCCAGCUAAUAUUUCAGAGCUAUGAUAUGCUGAGGUUAAUAUUCAGGCUUUAAAACAGGUGUAUGUCAAUUAACCAGACCUAAGCAAACUGCUGGUCUCAUAAUCCCUAAAGUGACUACUUUAAAUAUUAUUCCUUGCUUAUUCAAUUGUAGCCUUUGUGGCUAUACCUUAAAAUUUACAAUGUAUGGAUUUUCUUAAUGUUUGACUUAAAUUACUUCCAAAAUCCUUCAUGGUCAGAUAAGCUGAUGGAAGGAUGAGAACUAAGUUAUAAUGCUCUAGAAGACAAUGUAAUAAAUAAUGUGAAUGAGCCCUCUGCUAAUGAAAAUGUCUAUGUUACUAUGGCCAAAUGCAAUGCCUCCCAAUAAAAUUGGAAAAAGAUUAAGAAUCUUCUG
RNAcentral lists this long non-coding RNA (1753 nucleotides) under Marmota monax (woodchuck). Lineage: Eukaryota; Metazoa; Chordata; Mammalia; Rodentia; Sciuridae. The record is from RNAcentral.